UUAGUAACACAGGUAAAAACCUUUGUCCAUGAUUUCUGAUUCAGGCUAUAUACCACAAUUUAAAAUAACACAUAAUGUGAGACAUAGAAGACACAAGCAGUAGUUAUUACACUGGAUCAUUUAAAAGGAACCUGUUGCAAUAAAAGGUUAGUUUACAGUGCAAAAUAAAGCAUGUGUUGGACCGCUGAAAAUGUAAAUGUUGCUCUCUUAUUUUCAAACAAAAAUUAUAUUUACAGUAUGGAUCCUCUGCAACAAACACACAGGGCAGGGAAGAUGUGCUGAUUGGUGUUUCUAUACAAUUAAUCCCAUAUGGGGAAUUAACUUUCAAAUACUAAUGAUGUGACUUUUUGUCUCAGUUAUAAAAUAUACUGAGCUCAUCAUGCAAACAAUGUAACACAUUUACACUAUCCCACUCUCAUAAUAAGUGUAGUGGGCUUAUAGUAUUUUUAAAGCAACAAUCAUUCCAGGCACACAGAUCCCAUGUGAAAUAACUUACAAUAAAACAGAGUAAUAAACUUAUACUUCUAUGCGACAGAAAGAAUAAAGUAAAAAGAUUUAAGUAGGUCUAUCAGGUACAACCUGUGAGUCAUUUAUUUUCUAAUAUACAUUACUGCUAUCUUGCAAAAAGAUAAGUCCUGCGCUCACUCCCAUCACUACUGGGCAGCAGCAAGGACUACAGUACACAUCAGCCCCAAUAUAUGGUAAAAAACCAAAGAAAAACAAGUUACCUGCGUUCUCUCCUUAAUCCCUAUGUAUUUUUAAAACCUCCAUUUGUUUAAAAGUACUGCUAUCUUAUAUAUACACAUAUACAUAUACACACACAUAUAUACAUACAUAUACACAUAUAUACAUACAUAUAUUGGUCACUCAGGACAUGAACUCACAUUUCCCAUACUGCUGACUCAGAGUGGGGACACUACUAACUUACCAAAGUGUGUCCCCAAUAUAGACAAACAAUCACCCACAAAAAAAAAACACUUAAGACAAACAAAGGUGACCGGGAGAAAGAGAAGUUUGGGUUAUACUUAAAGAUCUACAAACUGUGCUGCUCAGAACACCUAUAGACUUAAUAAACCGGAGACUCUUAUGGUCUCAAAAACCUGUAUCUACCUGAGAUACCCUGUAUCUAUCUUAGAUACUAACCUGGGUUACCAAAACCCUAUAAUAAACCGGAGACCUCUUAUAGUCUCAAUAUAACUAGAGUCCUUACACCUUUCCUAUCUACUGGAUACAGACUUACUGAACCAAAGGGGGGUCAUAGACAAUCAGCGUCAAAUAAGACACAAAAAGGCUACUCACCGCAAUGGUUUUGCUGAUCCAACUUCUAUCCCACUUCUAGACACCAAGCUGAAAGGGUUAAUGUUGUAAUGGACUCUAAUCCCCUCGGUUCUCGAUCUCUCGGUCACCAUAAUCAACGUUGAUGGAGAAUCAUUUGUAAGCAAUAACACACGGACAACAGCUUUACAAGACUCUCAAAUGAGUGUAUUCCAGAGCUGGCUUUUAUA
Molecule: non-coding RNA, 1505 nt
Organism: Pelobates cultripes (western spadefoot toad)
Lineage: Eukaryota; Metazoa; Chordata; Amphibia; Anura; Pelobatidae
Source: the annotation of a GenBank genome assembly